AUUACCGCGGCUGCUGGCACGGAGUUAGCAGAUGCUUAUUCCCAGGGUACCGGCAAACCGCUACUCGUAUCGGGUUUUCUUCCCCUGGAAAAGCAGUUUACAACGCAUAGCGCCGUCUUCCUGCACGCGGGAUGGCUGGUUCAGGCUUGCGCCCAUUGACCAAUAUUCCUCACUGCUGCCUCCCGUAGG
RNAcentral lists this ribosomal RNA (189 nucleotides) under uncultured Banisveld landfill bacterium BVB02. Its description in RNAcentral is "partial 16S ribosomal RNA". The record is from RNAcentral.